RNAcentral lists this long non-coding RNA (2396 nucleotides) under Homo sapiens (human). RNAcentral's name for it is "PREDICTED lncRNA (TCONS_00045536)". The record is from RNAcentral. Lineage: Eukaryota; Metazoa; Chordata; Mammalia; Primates; Hominidae.
CUCAAAUUUUAGAAAGUAUUUCAUAUUUCUUAGAGAAACAAGCCGUGCUCAUUUUUUGUUUGUUUGUUUUUUGUUUUUUAAAAGGGCAGGGGGACUACAAUGCCAGGAGCCAGAGAGCUUGUCAGAGAACAGCCUGGCCAGGCAUGGUGCUCCAUCUGAGUGCCGAGUCAGAGCAUGCCCAGCCUUUGGCAUUUUCCUAUGAUCAUGGACAGCAUCAAUCUUACAGCCUGGAAUGGAAACAGGAUAAAAAGCAAGAAGGCACUGUACCUUUCCCCCACUGGCAGACAGAGAAACUCUAACUCUCCCGCCCUAUUUUCAUCCAUUUAAAUUCAUUUCCUUUCUCUCAGGUUUUCUGUAUCUUGGUUUGGAAUGAAUCUGGUACACGGCUCCUGAGUCAAGAGGUCAAGAAGACACGUGGUUUUAUGAUGCAACAAUGGGCAGCCACUCUGUUUUGUUUUGGGAACCUCAGUGACAUCACAGACUAACCCUUGUACCUUGGGACCUUGUAUGUAAGAAAACAUUGAGUCAGAAGAGAGCGUUAGUCAUAGGGCUACUGAAACACAAGGUGACGAGAACUAUUAGGCAAUUGAGUGCAUUCCCUGCAGGGCUGCUCCCACUUCUAUCUGACUUGGGUCUAGAUGACUCAAGUGAUUCCCGAGGGGAAAAUAAUCUAUGUGGAACAGCUGUCAUGAGCAGGCCUUCUGCUGCUCUUCAGCCUCAAUUUCAGCCUGCUACUUCCCGUGACAUCAUUCAGUGAUUCCUCCCUUUAAGGGGACAGUUUUCUCUUGUAUUACAGCUGUCUGCCUACGGAAGGCUCCAGAGUCCCUGACGCAUAUUUAUAUCUCCACUUCACUGAAGUCACAAGGAACAAACACACACCUGCCAUUUCCCAAAUCUCAUAAAACAUAUAAAUGGAUGAGACCAAAGAGAGGCAUGAGAUUCCAUUCUUAUGGUUCACAGGAAGCACCUGGCACACAGUAACUAUUAUUAAUUUCUGCACUGGAGGCAUCAGGAAAGCCUUCACGCUAUAGGGGGCCCUUUUAAGUUAAGAAGUUGGAGAGCAAGCCUCGGGGAAAGCAAAGAGAUAACUUAGUAGAAUGGAGCAACCAUACGGGAACAGUGAGAGUCCAUGGAUCUCCCUGGGCUAAGAUCAUGUAUGGAUUUGGCAAUCUGGGGUGGAAGCCACAUGUGCUGUUAUUAAGUGGAAAUGUCUCGUGAACAUGUGGAAAGUGAUGACUGGAACUUCAGAUGAAAGUCAAAGCUGGAGAUAGGAGAUUCAGAAGUCACCCCACCAAAGAAGGAAUGGUUAAAGCUAUAAGAACUAAUGAGAUCCUAUUUAUUUGCUUAUUCAAUCAACAUAUGUAGAACUAAAUGCUAAGAAUGUAAUGAUAAAUAAGACAGAAAGGGACCUUGCCCAUAUGGUAUUUACAAUCUACUGCCAGUUCAUAAUCUCCUAAAAAAUAAUGUAGAGAACAAUAACAGAAUCAAAGAAAUCUUGAACGUCUAUAUUUAAGGGGUUGAAUGUAAAAGAAAAGGCCUUAAAGGAGGCAGAAAAAUAGCAAUGAGAAAAGUUUGGGAAUUCUAAAACAAGACAGUAUUUCAGAGGAAGAAAACGCAGGUAAUACAUGGGCAAGUUUCACACACAGAGGUGAUGCAUCCUGGUGACCAAUAUUACAAGGAAGAGAGAUGAUGACUGAGGACAGGCUGGUGGACUUGAUUUGAGGUCAACGGUAUGAGGAUAAUUUCAGCAGAGUGGUGGGAUGGAGCGAAACAGCAGGUGUGUCAAUAAUGAGUUAAGCUUUGAGAAAGGGGAGACUUCAGAUGCAGACAACUCAUUCCUGAAUCUGUGCUUCAAAAACAAGAAAAAGCCCAAGAUGUCAGGAUAUCUGCAGGGUCAAGCAAAGCAUUUUUUUCACGAUGGUAAUAGGUAAAAGAGAUUUCUCUAGCCCGCUGGUCUAAGGAUCAGACAGAGGGUGGAGGUGCUUGAUAAGGAUGGUCAUGGCAUUUUUUGCAGACUGAAAUGAUAUUUGAAAACUAAAUGCUAGCCUGUGUUACAGCUACUUACCCGCUGAGGAUCAAACGUACAUUUAUUUGCCCUAUUGCCCAACUUAUGGCUAUGCCAGUAAUGUCCUCUUUUUUUCCUUAUCAUUUCUUUUCAGCUUGUUUUCCCAAACUGUGGUGUUGCCUUGCCCUUGAGAACCCAGCUGAGGUCUAGACUGUUUCAUGGAUCACCUAAGCUUGGAGCUACAGUUGGGCUGCAAAGUUGUUCCUCUAGUGCUGAUACAAGAACAUAGCUGGUCCUCUUGUUCAUAGUGGUAAAAUAUUUUUAAAAUCUGACAUAAACACAACAUAUUAAUUACAGAAAUGAUGGAGAGAGAAUAAAGCUGGGACCCCAC